This 73-nucleotide transfer RNA is filed under the name Stegodyphus mimosarum. It matches the Rfam family "tRNA". Rfam says of the family: Transfer RNA (tRNA) molecules are approximately 80 nucleotides in length. Their secondary structure includes four short double-helical elements and three loops (D, anti-codon, and T loops). The record is from Rfam by way of RNAcentral. Lineage: Eukaryota; Metazoa; Arthropoda; Arachnida; Araneae; Eresidae.
GCCUUCGUGGUGUAAUAGUCAGCACACUAGGCGCGCAUUCCAGAGGUCCAAGGUUCAAGUCCUGGCGAAAGCA